This 427-nucleotide ribosomal RNA is filed under the name uncultured beta proteobacterium. RNAcentral describes it as "bacterial SSU rRNA". It matches the Rfam family "Bacterial small subunit ribosomal RNA", at positions 355 to 774 of the family's 1533-position model. The record is from RNAcentral. Lineage: Bacteria; Pseudomonadati; Pseudomonadota; Betaproteobacteria.
UGGGGAAUUUUGGACAAUGGGCGAAAGCCUGAUCCAGCCAUGCCGCGUGAGUGAAGAAGGCCUUCGGGUUGUAAAGCUCUUUUAGUCGGAAAGAAAGAGUUGCAAUGAAUAAUUGUGAUUUAUGACGGUACCGACAGAAAAAGCACCGGCUAACUACGUGCCAGCAGCCGCGGUAAUACGUAGGGUGCGAGCGUUAAUCGGAAUUACUGGGCGUAAAGGGUGCGCAGGCGGUCUUGCAAGUCAGAUGUGAAAGCCCCGGGCUUAACCUGGGAAUUGCGUUUGAAACUACAAGGCUAGAGUGCAGCAGAGGGGAGUGGAAUUCCAUGUGUAGCAGUGAAAUGCGUAGAGAUGUGGAAGAACACCGAUGGCGAAGGCAGCUCCCUGGGUUGACACUGACACUCAUGCACGAAAGCGUGGGGAGCAAACA